RNAcentral lists this ribosomal RNA (497 nucleotides) under uncultured bacterium. Its description in RNAcentral is "partial 16S ribosomal RNA". It matches the Rfam family "Bacterial small subunit ribosomal RNA", at positions 28 to 507 of the family's 1533-position model. The record is from RNAcentral.
GACGAACGCUGGCGGCGUGCCUAAUACAUGCAAGUCGAGCGCUGAGGGUUGGUACUUGUACCAACUGGAUGAGCAGAACACGGGUGAGUAACGCGUGGGGAAUCUGCCUUUGAGCGGGGGACAACAUGGGAAAACGAAUGCUAAUACCGCAUAAGCACUUUAAGCACAAGGUGGAAGGGUGAAAGUUGCAAUUGCAUCACGCACAGAUGGUCCAGCGUUGUAUUAGCUUGUUAGUGGGGUAAAAGCUCACCAAGGCGAUGACACAUAGCCGCCCUGAGAGGGUGGUCGGCCACACUGGGACUGUGACCCGCCCCAAACUCCCUCGGGUGGCAGCCGUACGGCAUCUUCGGGCAUCGGUGGAAGUCUGACCGCGCUACGCCGCGUGCGUGUAGAAGGUUUUCGGGUCGUAAAACUCGGUCUGUAGGGAAGAAAGUGGGUUCGAGUGGAAAGCACCGCAAGUGACGGUAACUAGCCAGAAAGCGACGGCUAACUACGUG